CACCCUAUAGCUCAGACGGAUCAGUAGCGCCUCGCUUCGAACGAGGAGACUCCGGUUCGAGUCCGGAUGGGGUGUCCA
Molecule: transfer RNA, 78 nt
Filed under: Verrucomicrobia bacterium LW23
Lineage: Bacteria; Pseudomonadati; Verrucomicrobiota
Description: tRNA-Arg
Rfam family: tRNA
About the family: Transfer RNA (tRNA) molecules are approximately 80 nucleotides in length. Their secondary structure includes four short double-helical elements and three loops (D, anti-codon, and T loops).
Source: RNAcentral